UAUUGCGCAAUGGGGGCAACCCUGACGCAUCCAUGCCGCGUGAAUGAAGAAGGCCUUCGGGUUGUAAAGUUCUUUCGGUGAUGAGGAAGGAGGAUGUUUAAAUAGGGCAUUCAAUUGACGUUAAUCACAGAAGAAGCACCGGCUAACUCCGUGCCAGCAGCCGCGGUAAUACGGAGGGUGCGAGCGUUAAUCGGAAUAACUGGGCGUAAAGGGCACGCAGGCGGAUAAUUAAGUGAGAUGUGAAAUCCCCGAGCUUAACUUGGGAAUUGCAUUUCAUACUGGUUAUCUAGAGUCUUGUAGAGAGGGGUAGAAUUCCACGUGUAGCGGUGAAAUGCGUAGAGAUGUGGAGGAAUACCGGAGGCGAAGGCGGCCCCUUGGACAAAGACUGACGCUCAUUGCGAA
Molecule: ribosomal RNA, 402 nt
Filed under: uncultured bacterium
Lineage: Bacteria
Description: bacterial SSU rRNA
Rfam family: Bacterial small subunit ribosomal RNA
Source: RNAcentral